RNAcentral lists this non-coding RNA (46 nucleotides) under Schistosoma curassoni. The record is from RNAcentral. Lineage: Eukaryota; Metazoa; Platyhelminthes; Trematoda; Strigeidida; Schistosomatidae.
GCACUGCUGAAGAGUUCCAAACUAAGACGAAACGGCCGUCCAAUGC